This 228-nucleotide unclassified non-coding RNA is filed under the name uncultured Bartonella sp. RNAcentral's name for it is "partial 16S-23S ribosomal RNA intergenic spacer". Lineage: Bacteria; Pseudomonadati; Pseudomonadota; Alphaproteobacteria; Hyphomicrobiales; Bartonellaceae. The record is from RNAcentral.
GCGAUCUCUUAAAGUAAAGCCCGAUCUGUUUAAAAAAACAGAACGUUUAGACAUAUGUUUAAAUUCUUAAGGUCUUUAAAUGCUUAUGGAACUUAAAAAUCAUAAGUUUAAAGAAAGGUUUUAUGAAGAAAGCUCUUUUAAGCUUUUUCAGUGAUUUAAGAUGAUACCGGGGAAGGUUUUCCGGUUUAUCCCGGAGGGCUUGUAGCUCAGUUGGUUAGAGCGCGCGCU